Molecule: ribosomal RNA, 849 nt
Filed under: uncultured archaeon
Lineage: Archaea
Description: bacterial SSU rRNA
Rfam family: Archaeal small subunit ribosomal RNA
Source: RNAcentral
CGGACCUGACUGCUAUCGGAUUGAUACUAGGCCAUGCGAGUCAUUGUAGCAAUACAAGGCAUACGGCUCAGUAACGCGUAGUCAACCUAACCUAUGGACGGGAAUAACCUCAGGAAACUGAGAAUAAUGCCCGAUAGAACAUUAUGCCUGGAAUGGUUUAUGUUCCAAAUGAUUUAUCGCCGUAGGAUGGGACUGCGGCCUAUCAGUUUGUUGGUGAGGUAAUGGCCCACCAAGACUAUUACAGGUACGGGCUCUGAGAGGAGUAGCCCGGAGAUGGGUACUGAGACACGGACCCAGGCCCUAUGGGGCGCAGCAGGCGAGAAAACUUUGCAAUGUGCGAAAGCACGACAAGGUUAAUCCGAGUGGUUUCUGCUAAAGGAACCUUUUGUCAGUCCUAGAAACACUGAUGAAUAAGGGGUGGGCAAGUUCUGGUGUCAGCCGCCGCGGUAAAACCAGCACCUCAAGUGGUCAGGAUGAUUAUUGGGCCUAAAGCAUACGUAGCCGGCUCUGUAAGUUUUCGGUUAAAUCUGUACGCUCAACGUACAGGCUGCCGGGAAUACUGCAAAGCUAGGGAGUGGGAGAGGUAGACGGUACUCGGUAGGAAGGGGUAAAAUCCUUUGAUCUAUUGAUGACCACCUGUGGCGAAGGCGGUCUACCAGAACACGUCCGACGGUGAGGGAUGAAAGCUGGGGGAGCAAACCGGAUUAGAUACCCGGGUAGUCCCAGCUGUAAACCAUGCAAACUCAGUGAUGCAUUGGCUUGUGGCCAAUGCAGUGCUGCAGGGAAGCCGUUAAGUUUGCCGCCUGGGAAGUACGUACGCAAGUAUGAAACUUAAAGGAAUUGGCGGGG